This 610-nucleotide long non-coding RNA is filed under the name Cercocebus atys (sooty mangabey). Its description in RNAcentral is "lncRNA (ENSCATG00000045485.1)". The record is from RNAcentral. Lineage: Eukaryota; Metazoa; Chordata; Mammalia; Primates; Cercopithecidae.
AUUGCCCACAGUCAUCUUGUCCAAAAGAGAGGAUAAAAGUCAGCAGGUUGAAUUUUUUCCAAACUUCAGCUUGCAGCCUACAGCAUCUUGGAUCCUCAGCUACUUCAGCCGAAACUCAAGAAGACUGUCUUCACAGAGUCAAAGUGAAAAAAGAGUAGAGCAGACAGGGACAGCGGUCACUGCACAAAAUCAGCAGACUGCCAGGGCAGCCCCAUGUCUCUUCAGAACGUUGGGACAAACUAAAGUCGGUCUCAGGAAGAAACUGCUUCUCAUGUUCUCAUAAGAAAGCAAUUGUAAAAGCAGAAAGAAGGACAUUCCAGAGAAGGAAAAUGUUCUAACUCAGAGAAGGGAGCAUUUCAGCUCAUUCUUGACGGAUAUGUGAAAGUAAGUCAAAUACACUUGAAUGUUUGGGGAAAAAAAAUAAAAUAAGAGGUUGGGAUGCUAUCUUCCUCUUGCCUCAGUCAAAAUAGGCCAAAUUCAAAGCUUAAAAGGGCAGCAGAAGAUUAGAAAAUGCCUAAAGAGGAGAACUCAGAGAAAGAGAACCCUGAAAGACAAACUUCACUCACAUUAUAAUCUCCUAGGAGGCCAUUCAGUAUAACCAGAAAAGCAC